This 115-nucleotide non-coding RNA is filed under the name Rhodococcus sp. (in: high G+C Gram-positive bacteria). RNAcentral describes it as "Rhodococcus sp. SAM-IV sequence". It matches the Rfam family "SAM (S-adenosyl methionine) riboswitch aptamer". Rfam says of the family: SAM-IV is a mRNA element that regulates gene expression via direct sensing of S-adenosylmethionine (SAM or AdoMet). Lineage: Bacteria; Bacillati; Actinomycetota; Actinomycetes; Mycobacteriales; Nocardiaceae. RNAcentral also lists the same sequence under 1 other name. The record is from RNAcentral.
GGUCACGAGUACCAGCGUCAAGCCCCGGCUCGCUGGUCGGCAACCCUCCUUCCGCGGUGGGGUGCUCCGGGUGACGACCUGGCCGAGUUCCGACCGGAACCGGCAAGCGCGGAUC